GUAAUAAAACUGCAAUUUCCUCUACAGAGUUAGUUGCGUUUUCAUAGAAACGUUUCUUAGAAGUGGAAGUGGUUUUUCUAAAACUGAUUUGGGUAAUUCCCCAGACUCCAGGCUGUUUUGUUCUCAUACAGGAUCAGAUAAACCAGUGGCUCCAUCGACAGGAGAAUUUGGCACAUCUCCAGUGGGGGAGGGACCUUGGACCUUGUCUUCCAAUCAGAGUAUGUGAGCGGAGCUGGAGCGGAGUGAGGAGUGGUGCUGGAGCGGAGCAUGCCCAAUUUGACUGGAGCGCGGAGUGAGAUUCCCAAAGGCUGGAGUGACGUCUUUCUCUUCCGCUCCAAUAGCGCUCACUUCACGAGCUCAAGGCAUGCCUGGCCCAGCAUGCAUUUGUAGUCUACUUCUGUGCUACUAAAGCCCCUUGCUUUAGCUACGGUCAUGAAGUUCGCAAAUUAUUUUCAUAAAGAAACUGAUAAUACACACAGGUGCUAAAUCAAGGUGAUUUACAAAGAUGAGGUAUAAGGGCACUAGGCGAGUCCCAGAUGCAGACACGGGAGGCAGAUGAUUUGAGUCUUUGAUAUUUGUUAUAAUCCAAAAGGGUAGGCAAGAGAAUGGGCGUGGACAGGCAAAAGGUCAAAACCAGUUCAGAGUCCAGGAGGUACAGAGUGGCAGGCAGGCCCGAGGUCAAGGCAGGCAGAAAGGUCAUGCAGGCCGGUACAGAGUCCAGAAACAGGCAAGGGUCAAAACCGGGAGGACUAGCAAAAAGAGAAUAGAAAAAGCAGGAGCACGGGAAAAACACGCUGGUUGACUUGAACAUACAAGACGAACUUGCACAGAGACAGGAAACACCGGCAUAAAUACACCGGGGAAAAUAUGC
Molecule: long non-coding RNA, 871 nt
Filed under: Salmo salar (Atlantic salmon)
Lineage: Eukaryota; Metazoa; Chordata; Actinopteri; Salmoniformes; Salmonidae
Description: lncRNA (ENSSSAG00000101885.1)
Source: RNAcentral